AUUGAACGCUGGCGGCAUGCCUUACACAUGCAAGUCGAACGGCAGCGGACCUUCGGGUGCCGGCGAGUGGCGAACGGGUGAGUAAUAUAUCGGAACGUACCUUUCAGUGGGGGAUAACGUAGCGAAAGUUACGCUAAUACCGCAUAUUCUGUGAGCAGGAAAGCAGGGGAUCGCAAGGCCUUGCGCUCUUUGAGCGGCCGAUGUCAGAUUAGCUAGUUGGUGAGGUAAAGGCUUACCAAGGCGACGAUCUGUAGCGGGUCUGAGAGGAUGAUCCGCCACACUGGAACUGAGACACGGUCCAGACUCCUACGGGAGGCAGCAGUGGGGAAUUUUGGACAAUGGGGGCAACCCUGAUCCAGCCAUGCCGCGUGAGUGAAGAAGGCCUCGGUUG
Molecule: ribosomal RNA, 391 nt
Filed under: uncultured bacterium
Lineage: Bacteria
Description: bacterial SSU rRNA
Rfam family: Bacterial small subunit ribosomal RNA
Source: RNAcentral